RNAcentral lists this long non-coding RNA (199 nucleotides) under Solanum tuberosum (potato). RNAcentral describes it as "long non-coding RNA (STUB_LNC000519)". Lineage: Eukaryota; Viridiplantae; Streptophyta; Magnoliopsida; Solanales; Solanaceae. The record is from RNAcentral.
CCUCCUCAAGUAACUAUCAAAAAUAUUGAUAAUAUAGUGCUCCUAAUAUUGUCAAUUCAAUCAAUAACAUUGAUGUUGAUCAAUUACAGUCGACUAACAGUCAAACAAUCACAAGACUUCAAUAUAUCAACAUUAAUUAACCUAAAAAAACAGAGUAAUCAAUACAAUCAAUUGCUCAUUAAAUAAGAAGGGUGUGAAA